Molecule: ribosomal RNA, 712 nt
Filed under: Ochromonas sp. CCMP1393
Lineage: Eukaryota; Chrysophyceae; Chromulinales; Chromulinaceae
Description: partial Bacterial large subunit ribosomal RNA
Rfam family: Bacterial large subunit ribosomal RNA
Source: RNAcentral
AUGGUGGAUACCUAGGCACGCAGAGGCGAAGAAGGACGUGGCGACCGACGAAAAGCUCCGGGGAGCUGGAAGCAAGCACUGAGCCGGAGAUAUCCGAAUGGGGCAACCCAGAAACAGCCUGUUGAAUAUAUAGACAGGCAUGAGCGAACCUAGCGAACUGAAACAUCUUAGUAGCUAGAGGAAGAGAAAGAAAAAUCGAUUUCCCAAGUAGUGGUGAGCGAACAGGAAACAGCCUAAACCAAAAAUUUUUAUUUUUGGGGUAGUGGGAAAGCGAUAUGGAAGCUGGAAGCUAGACGAAGCAGCCAAAAACUGCACCAAAGAAGGUGAUAGUCCUGUAGUCGAAAGUGGAAAGAUACUAGCUUAAUCCCGAGUAGCACGGGGCACGAGAAAUCCCGUGUGAAUCAGCGAGGACCACCUCGUAAGGCUAAAUACUACUGCGUGACCGAUAGUGAAACAGUACCGCGAGGGAAAGGUGAAAAGAACCCCGGGAGGGGAGUGAAAUAGAACAUGAAACCAUUAGCCUACAAGCAGUGGAAGGACGAUUUAACGUCUGACCGCGUGCCUGUUGAAGAAUGAGCCGGCGAGUUAUAAGUAGUGGCAGGUUAAAGCAAUAAUUGCUGAAGCCAAAGCGAAAGCGAGUCUGAAUAGGGCGCAAUAAGUGUCACUGGUUAUAGACCCGAACCCGGGUGAUCUAACCAUGUCCAGGAUGAAG